This 506-nucleotide ribosomal RNA is filed under the name Amanita cylindrispora. RNAcentral's name for it is "eukaryotic LSU rRNA". It matches the Rfam family "Eukaryotic large subunit ribosomal RNA", at positions 97 to 594 of the family's 3401-position model. The record is from RNAcentral. Lineage: Eukaryota; Fungi; Basidiomycota; Agaricomycetes; Agaricales; Amanitaceae.
AGCGGGAUAAGCUCAAAUUUAAAAUCUGGCGGUCUUAGUGCNGUCCGAAUUGUAACCUAGAGAAGUGUUGCCCGNGCUGAACCAUGUAUAAGUCUCNUGGGAUGGAGUAUCAGAGAGGGUGAGAAUCCCGUCUUUGACAUGGACUUCCAGUGCAUUGUGGUAUGCUCUCAAAGAGUUGAGUUGUUUGGGAAUGCAGCUCUAAAUGGGUGGUAAAUUCCAUCUAAAGCUAAAUAUUGGCGAGAGACCGAUAGCGAACAAGUACCGUGAGGGAAAGAUGAAAAGAACUUUGGAAAGAGAGUUAAACAGUAUGUGAAAUUGUUGAAAGGGAAACGUUUGAAGUCAGUGAUAUUGGUNAGGGAUCAAGCCAAGCAUAUUCAUUUGCUUGGGUGUACUUCCUGGUUGAUAGGUCAACAUCAGUUCUGGCUGCUGGAAAAGGGCUAGCGGAAAGUGGCACCCUUUUGGGUGUGUUUAUAGCUGCUAGUCAUAUCAGUAGUUGGGACUGAGGA